CGAAGAGGAGGAAGACGAGGAGG
This 23-nucleotide non-coding RNA is filed under the name Cricetulus griseus (Chinese hamster). Lineage: Eukaryota; Metazoa; Chordata; Mammalia; Rodentia; Cricetidae. The record is from RNAcentral.